CCAAAACUCCGCCGGGGAAAAUACACUGGCUUCAUCUUUAUGUGUGCACCAGGGGCCACGGGACAUCUGAUGGGAUCAGAUAACAGAAGAAGUUUCAAAAUUAAGACCUUCAGGACUGUGUUGAGAAAUAAAACGCCUCCAAGGAAAUUGCAAACAUCACAGACACGAUGACUGAUGCUGCUGUGGACCCAACCGACAGAGGGUCUGUCCUCCCCAGUUAAACCCAUUUCAUAUUUCAUAUAUAUAUAUAUAUAUGAAAUAUUUGCCACGUUAUAUGUGUUUUCUAACAAGUGCACUACGUAGAAGGGAACAUCUUUGCAGCCGCAAGAUUAUCUUCAAAUCAUGUGCAAUAUAAUGAGACUGAACAAAGCCAGGAAAAAGGAGGAGGGGAGGUGGAAAUAAUUUGGACAUUAGUUCAGUCUUUUUUUUUUUAUUAAAAAAAAAAAUAAUCUCUUGUAAGAUUAAGCAACCAGGAAGGAAACGUUAACCAGAGCUGCUAAUAAGCGAUCCAAGUGUUUUGCUUGGGGUGGGAGGGAGAUGGGGGAAAUUCAGUUGCUCUCGCUGUUCCCUGUCGAAGGCCAGGGGCUGUUUUUGGCACUGGGACGUGAAUAAUUUCUGUUCCAUUUUUCUGACAUUCAUGUAAAUGCUCUUUAUAAGUAGGUAUGUGCUAUACCAAAGGCUGUGAUUUAUUUUAAGUCCUUAUUAAGAAAGUAACAUCUCCACCGAUGCUGAGGAAAAGGGUGUCAAACAAUCAACAAGUUGUGCCUUGCUUUCAGGAUCACUUCAUGAAAAACUAAGGAAAAAUCAAAUUUCCAGGGGUGGAAAAGGUAUAAAAACCCAAUCCUGACUGGGCAUGCCCCUGCUUCAUUUCACAAGAGCCCAUGCGACCUUCUCUGCUGUUCCAUGGUACUUCAGUCCUGAGGGAAUAUUAUAGUAUUGUCGUGCUAAUACUAUAAUAAACGGGAAGUUCCUCACUCCUUUGCCCAUUGCUGUUUCAUUUUGCAUGCUGAGGGUUUUUUUUUGUGGCAGUUUAAGAGCUGUGGGUUGCCUGCGCUUGCCUGUCAAGCUGUUAAAACUGGGGUUUCUGUAACCUCACUGCAUCUCCUAGGGCCGUAUGGGUAAAUAAUUAUCCUAGUGAUGGGAUA
RNAcentral lists this long non-coding RNA (1145 nucleotides) under Aquila chrysaetos chrysaetos. RNAcentral describes it as "lncRNA (ENSACCG00020015637.1)". Lineage: Eukaryota; Metazoa; Chordata; Aves; Accipitriformes; Accipitridae. The record is from RNAcentral.